Molecule: unclassified non-coding RNA, 286 nt
Filed under: Hevea brasiliensis (rubber tree)
Lineage: Eukaryota; Viridiplantae; Streptophyta; Magnoliopsida; Malpighiales; Euphorbiaceae
Source: RNAcentral
GCACGCUCUACAAAACGACGACUGGUCGAAGCUGAUUCUUCUGCAGCUUGAGUUCGUUGGCGGUGUGGGGCCUCAGCUUUAAAAAACAGGGCCUCAAGCACUAGUUUGGAUGCAAACUCAUGUUCAAAGUCAUUACAUGUAAGAACCUUCCUAAGUUUCCGGCAGCUCAUGAAAGGAAACCGGAUGCAGCGACCAAGUCUUGAACUAAGAAUUUCUCGGCGUUCCUCUAUCAAGGGAUAAUGAGCCCUUGUCCAUUUCAAGACAAAGUCAUAUACUGCAUCUUCUG